RNAcentral lists this long non-coding RNA (6978 nucleotides) under Zea mays. RNAcentral's name for it is "long non-coding RNA (ZMAY_LNC005794)". The record is from RNAcentral. Lineage: Eukaryota; Viridiplantae; Streptophyta; Magnoliopsida; Poales; Poaceae.
GUAUUAUUGAAAAUGGUCGUUCAUGGCUAUUUUCGACAAAAAUGGGGGUUGUGUGGCCAUUGAUCAUCAACCAGAGGCUCGUACACCUCACCCCACAUAUGUUUCCUUGCCAUAGAUCACAUUCUUGGUUUUUGGUGGAGACCAUUUCUUGGGCAAAAAUCCGAUCACAUUCUUGGAUUUAUGGUGGAGACCAUUUCUUGGUCAAAAAUCCGUAGGUGUUAGCCUUCAGUGUCAUUGAAUAUGGUCGUUCAUGGCAAUUUUUGACAAAAAUGGGGGUUGUGUGGCCAUUGAUCAUCACCUAGAGGCUCGUACACCUCACCCCACAUAUGUUUCGUUGCCAUAGAUCACAUUCUUGGAUUUAUGGCGGAGACCAUUUCUUGGUCAAAAAUUCGUAGGUGUUAGCCUUCAGUAUUAUUGAAAAUGACCGUUCAUGGCUAUUUUCGACAAAAAUGGGGGUUGUGUUGCCAUUGAUCAUCGACCAGAGGCUCGUACACCUCACCCCACAUAUGUUUCCUUGCCAUAGAUCGCAUUCUUGGAUUUCUAGUGGAGACCAUUUCUUUGUCAAAAAUCCGUAGGUGUUAGCCUUCGGUAUUAUUGAAAAUGGUCGUUCAUGGCUAUUUUCGACAAAAAUGGGGGUUGUGUGGCCAUUGAUCAUCGACCAGAGGCUCAUACACCUCACCCCACAUAUGUUUCUUUGCCAUAGAUCACAUUCUUGGAUUUCUGGUGGAGACCAUUUCUUGGUCAAAAAUCCGUAGGUGUUAGCCCUCGGUAUUAUUGAAAAUGGUCGUUCAUGGCUAUUUUCGACAAAAAUGGGGGUUGUGUGCCAUUGAUCAUCGACCAGAGGCUCGUACACCUCAUCCCACAUAUGUUUCCUUGCCAUGGAUGACAUUCUUGGAUUUUUGGUGGUGACGAUUUCUUGGUCAAAAAUCCGCAGGUGUCAGCCUUCGGUAUUAUUGAAAAUGGUCGUUCAUGGCUAUUUUCAACAAAAAUGGGGGUUGUGUGGCCUUUGAUCAUCAACCUAAGGCUCGUGCACCUCACCCCACAAAUGUUUCCUUAACAUAGAUCACAUUCUUGGAUUUCAGGUGGAGACGAUUUAUUGGGCAAAAAUCCGUACGUGUUAACCUUCGGUAUUAUUGAAAAUGUUCAUUCAUGGCUAUUUUCGACAAAAAAUGCGGAUUGUGUGGCCAUUGAUCAUCGACUAGAGGCUCGUACACCUCUCCCCACAUAUGUUUCGUUGCCAUAGAUCAGAUCCUAGGAAUUAUGGUGGAGACCAUUUUUGGUCAAAAAUUCGUAGGUGUUAGCCUUCAGUGUCAUUGAAAAUGGUCGUUCAUAGCUAUUUUGACAAAAAUGGGGGUUGUGUGGCCAUUGAUCGUCGACUAGAGGCCCGUACACCUCACCCCACAUAUGUUUCGUUGCCAUAGAUCACAUUCUUGGAUUUAUGGCGGAGACCAUUUCUUGGUCAAAAAUUCGUAGGUGUUAGCCUUCAGUGUCAUUGAAAAUUGUCGUUCUUGGCUAUUUUCGACAAAAAUGGGGGUUGUGUGGCCAUUGAUCAUCAACCAGAGGCUCGUACACCUCACCCCACAUAUGUUUCCUUGCCAAAGAUCACAUUCUUGGAUUUAUGGUGGAGACCAUUUCUUGGUCAAAGAUCCGUAGGUGUUAGCCUUCGGUAUUAUUGAAAAUGGUCGUUCAUGGCUAUUUUCGACAAAAAUGGGGGUUGUGUUGCCAUUGAUCAUCGACCAGAGGCUCGUACACCUCACCCCAAAUAUGUUUCCUUGCCAUAGAUCGUAUUCUUAGAUUUCUAGUGGAGACCAUUUCUUGGUCAAAAAUCCGUAGGUGUUAGCCUUCGCUAUUAUUGAAAAUGGUCGUUCAUGGCUAUUUUCGACAAAAAUGGGGGUUGUGUUGCCAUUGAUCAUCGACUAGAGGCUCGUACACCUCACCCCACAUAUGUUUCCUUGCCAUAGAUCGCAUUUUGGGAUUUCUAGUGGAGACCAUUUCUUGGUCAAAAAUCCGUAGGUGUUAGCCUUCGGUAUUAUUGGAAAUUGUCGUUCAUGGCUAUUUUCGACAAAAAUGGGGGUUGUGUGGCCAUUGAUCAUCGACCAAAGGCUCGUACACCUCACCCUACAUAUGUUUCCUUGCCAUAGAUCACAUUCUUGGAUUUCUGGUGGAGACCAUUUCUUGGUCAAAAAUCCGUAGGUGUUAGCCCUCGGUAUUAUUGAAAAUGGUUGUUCAUGGCUAUUUUCGACAAAAAUGGGGGUUGUGUGGCCAUUGAUCAUCGACCAGAGGCUCGUACACCUCAUCCCACAUAUGUUUCCUUGCCAUAGAUCACAUUCUUGGAUUUCUGCUAGAGACGAUUUCUUGGUCAAAAAUCCGUAGGUGUUAGCCUUCGGUAUUAUUGAAAAUGGUCGUUCAUGGCUAUUUUCGACAAAAAUGGGGGUUGUGUGGCCAUUGAUCAUCGACCAAAGGCUCGUACACCUCACCCCACAUAUGUUUGCUUGCCAUAGAUCACAUUCUUGGCUUUCUCGUGGAAACCAUUAGUCAAAAAUCCGUACGUAUUAUGCUUCGGUAUUAUUGAAAAUGGUCGUUCAUGGCUAUUUCGACAAAAAUGGGGGUUGUGUGGCCAUUGAUCAUCGACCAAAGGCUCGUACACCUCACCCCGCAAAUGUUUCCUUGCUAUAUAUCACAUUCUUGGAUUUCUGGUGGAGACGAUUUCUUGGUCAAAAAUCCGUAGGUGUUAGCCUUCUGAAUUAUUGAAAAUGGUCGUUCAUGGCUUUUUUCGACAAAUAUGGGGGUUGUGUGGCCAUUGAUCAUCGACCAAAGGCUCGUACACCGCACCCCACAUAUGUUUCCUUGCCAUAGAUCAUAUUCUUGGAUUUCUAGUGCAGACCAUUUCUUGGUCAAAAAUCCGUAGGUGUUAGCCUUCAGGGUUCUUGAAAAUGGUCGUUCAUGGCUAUUUUCGACAAAAAAUGGGGGUUGUGUGGCCAUUGAUCAUUGACCAGAGGCACGAACACUUCACCCCACAUAUGUUUUCUUGCCAUAGAUCACAUUCUUGGAUUUCUGGUGGAGACCAUUUCUUGGUCAAAAAUCCGUAGGUGUUAGCCGUCGGUAUUAUUGAAAAUGGUCGUUCAUAGCUAUUAUCGACAAAAAUGGGGUUGUGUGGCCAUUUAUCAUCGACAAGAGGUUCGUACACCUCACCCCACAUAUGUUUCCUUGUCAUAGAUCAUAUUCUCGGAUUUCUGGUGCAGACCAUUUCUUGGUAAAAAAACCGUAGGUGUUAGCCUUCGGUAUUAUUGAAAAUGGUCGUUCAUGGCUAUUUUCGACAAAAAUGGGGGUUGUGUGGCCAUUGAUCAUCGACCAGAGGCUCGUACACCUCACCCCACAUAUGUUUCCUUGCCAUAGAUCACAUUCUUGGAUUUCUAGUGGAGACCAUUUCUUGGUCAAAAAUCCGUAGGUGUUAGCCUUCGGUAUUAUUGAAAUGGUCGUUCAUGGCUAGUUUCGACAAAAAUGGGGGUUGUGUGGCCAUUGAUCAUCGACCAGAGGCACGUACACCUCACCCCACAUAUGUUUCCUUGCCAUAGAUAAUAUUCUUGGAUUUCUGGUGGAGACGAUUUGUUGGUCAAAAAUCCGUAGGUGUUAGCCUUCGGUAUUAUUGAAAAUGGUCGUUCAUGGCUAUUUUCGACAAAAAUGGGGGUUGUGUGGCCAUUGAUCAACGACCAGAGGCUCGUACACCUCACCCCACAUAUGUUUCCUUGCCAUAGAUCACAUUCUUGGAUUUCUAGUGGAGACCAUUUCUUGGUCAAAAAUCUGUAGGUGUUAGCCUUCGGUAUUAUUGAAAAUGGUCGUCCAUGGCUAUUUUCGACAAAAAUGGGGGUUGUGUGGCCAUUGAUCAUCGACCAGAGGCUCGUACACCUCACCCCACAUAUGUUUCCUUGCCAUAGAUCACAUUCUUGGAUUUCUGGUGCAGACCAUUUCUUGGUCAAAAAUCCGUAGGUGUUAGCCCUCGGUAUUAUUGAAAGUGGUCGUUCAUGGCUAUUUACGACAAAAAUGGGCGUUGUGUGGCCAUUGAUCAUCGACCAGAGGCUCGUACACCUCAUCCCACAUAUGUUUCCUUGCCUAAGAUUACAUUCUUGGAUUUUUGGUGGAGACGAUUUCUUGGUCAAAAAUCCGUAGGUGUUAGCCUUCAUUAUUAUUGAAAAUGGUCGUUCAUGGCUAUUUUGAUAAAAAUGGGGGUUGUGUGGUCAUUGAUCAUCGACCAGAGGAUUGUACACCUCACCCCACAUAUGUUUCCUUGCCAUAGAUCACAUUCUUGGAUUUCUGGUGGAGACGAUUUCUUGGGCAAAAAUCCGUACGUGUUAACCUUCGGUAUUAUGGAAAAUGUUCAUUCAUGGCUAUUUGCGACAAAAAACGGGGGUUGUGUGGCCAUUGAUCAUCGACCAGAGGCUCGUACACCUCACCCCACAUAUGUUUGGAUGUCGUAGAUCAGAUUCUUGGAAUUAUGGUGGAGACCAUUUUUGGUCAAAAAUUCGUAGGUGUUAGCCUUCAGUGUCAUUGAACAUGGUCGUUCAUGGCUAUUUUCGACAAAAAUGGGGGUUGUGUGGCCAUUGAUCGUCGACCAGAGGCUCGUACACCUCACCCCACAUAUGUUUCCUUGCCAUAGAUCACAUUCUUGGAUUUACGGUGGAGACCAUUUCUUGGUCAAAAAUCCGUAGGUGUUAGCCUUCGGUAUUAUUGAAAAUGGUCGUUCAUGGCUAUUUUCGACAAAAAUGGGAGUUGUGUGGCCAUUGAUCAUCGACCAGAGGCUCGUACACCUCACCCCACAUAUGUUUCCUUGCCAUAGAUCACAUUCUUGGAUUUCUAGUGGAGACCAUUUCUUGGUCAAAAAUCCGUAGGUGUUAGCCUUCGGUAUUAUUGAAAAUGGUCGUUCAUGGCUAGUUUCGACAAAAAUGGGGGUUGUGUGGCCAUUGAUCAUCGACCAGAGGCUCGUACACCUCACCCCACAUAUGUUUCCUUGCCAUAGAUAAUAUUCUUGGAUUUCUGGUGGAGACGAUUUGUUGGUCAAAAAUCCGUAGGUGUUAGCCUUCGGUAUUAUUGAAAAUGGUCGUUCAUGGCUAUUUUCGACAAAAAUGGGGGUUGUGUGGCCAUUGAUCAACGACCAGAGGCUCGUACACCUCACCCCACAUAUGUUUCCUUGCCAUAGAUCACAUUCUUGGAUUUCUAGUGGAGACCAUUUCUUGGUCAAAAAUCUGUAGGUGUUAGCCUUCGGUAUUAUUGAAAAUGGUCGUCCAUGGCUAUUUUCGACAAAAAUGGGGGUUGUGUGGCCAUUGAUCAUCGACCAGAGGCUCGUACACCUCACCCCACAUAUGUUUCCUUGCCAUAGAUCACAUUCUUGGAUUUCUGGUGCAGACCAUUUCUUGGUCAAAAAUCCGUAGGUGUUAGCCUCGGUAUUAUUGAAAGUGGUCGUUCAUGGCUAUUUACGACAAAAAUGGGGGUUGUGUGGCCAUUGAUCAUCGACCAGAGGCUCGUACACCUCAUCCCACAUAUGUUUCCUUGCCUAAGAUUACAUUCUUGGAUUUUGGUGGAGACGAUUUCUUGGUCAAAAAUCCGUAGGUGUUAGCCUUCAUUAUUAUUGAAAAUGGUCGUUCAUGGCUAUUUUUGAUAAAAAUGGGGGUUGUGUGGUCAUUGAUCAUCGACCAGAGGAUGUACACCUCACCCCACAUAUGUUUCCUUGCCAUAGAUCACAUUCUUGGAUUUCUGGUGGAGACGAUUUCUUGGCAAAAAUCCGUACGUGUUAACCUUCGGUAUUAUGGAAAAUGUUCAUUCAUGGCUAUUUCGACAAAAAGGGGGUUGUGUGGCCAUUGAUCAUCGACCAGAGGCUCGUACACCUCACCCCACAUAUGUUUGGAUGUCGUAGAUCAGAUUCUUGGAAUUAUGGUGGAGACCAUUUUUGGUCAAAAAUCGUAGGUGUUAGCCUUCAGUGUCAUUGAACAUGGUCGUUCAUGGCUAUUUUCGACAAAAAUGGGGGUUGUGUGGCCAUUGAUCGUCGACCAGAGGCUCGUACACCUCACCCCACAUAUGUUUCCUUGCCAUAGAUCACAUUCUGGAUUUACGGUGGAGACCAUUUCUUGGUCAAAAAUCCGUAGGUGUUAGCCUUCGGUAUUAUUGAAAAUGGUCGUUCAUGGCUAUUUUCGACAAAAAUGGGGGUUGUGUGGCCAUUGAUCAUCGACCAGAGGCUCGUACACCUCACCCCACAUAUGUUUCCUUGCCAUAGAUCACAUUCUUGGAUUUCUAGUGGAGACCAUUUCUUGGUCAAAAAUCCGUAGGUGUUAGCCUUCGGUAUUAUUGAAAAUGGUCGUUCAUGGCUAUUUUCGACAAAAAUGGGGGUUGUGUGGCCAUUGAUCAUCGACCAGAGGCACGUACACCUCACCCCACAUAUGUUUCCUUGCCAUAGAUAAUAUUCUUGGAUUUCUGGUGGAGACGAUUUGUUGGUCAAAAAUCCGUAGGUGUUAGCCUUCGGUAUUAUUGAAAAUGGUCGUUCAUGGCUAUUUUCGACAAAAAUGGGGGUUGUGUGGCCAUUGAUCACGACCAGAGGCUCGUACACCUCACCCCACAUAUGUUUCCUUGCCAUAGAUCACAUUCUUGGAUUUCUAGUGGAGACCAUUUCUUGGUCAAAAAUCGUAGGUGUUAGCCUUCGGUAUUAUUGAAAAUGGUCGUCAUGGCUAUUUUCGACAAAAAUGGGGGUUGUGUGGCCAUUGAUCAUCGACCAGAGGCUCGUACACCUCACCCCACAUAUGUUUCCUUGCCAUAGAUCACAUUCUUGGAUUUCUGGUGGAGACCAUUUCUUGGUCAAAAAUCCGUAGGUGUUAGCCUCGGUAUUAUUGAAAAUGGUCGUUCAUGGCUAUUUUCGACAAAAAUGGGGGUUGUGUGGCCAUUGAUCAUCGACCAGAGGCUCGUACACCUCACCCACAUAUGUUUCCUUGCCAA